Cicer arietinum (chickpea) is the source of this 1553-nucleotide RNA transcript. It is a transcript of the gene named ran-binding protein 1 homolog a-like, with no coding region annotated. NCBI's taxonomy places the organism in Eukaryota, Viridiplantae, Streptophyta, Magnoliopsida, Fabales, Fabaceae. The record is from RefSeq and is a predicted model, not a curated record.
GUGCGCCAACACAUUCUUCAUCGCACGCGAGUUCAUGCUUCAGCACUAUCUCAUCCUUUAACCCUUUAGCGCUUUCAUCUUCAACCUUCGGCCUUCAUCCUUCAAUGCAAAAUCAUCAUUCAUCCUUCAACACGAAUUGGAUGAACUUCAUCCAUUUUUCUCGCAUCCUAAUUCUCCGUCACCGCGACUCAAAUUCAUAACCGCUCUGAUGACGGAGGACAACUCCAAUCUCGCCGCCGCCACCAGUGAUUCGUCCAAACCUCCGUCCUCUUUCGUUAAAAAAGUCGACCGUCAAAUUUUCACCGUCGAGCUCCGACAUAGAGAGACCAUAAUAGUAUCGUGGAAGAAACUUGUUAAAGAUGCCAAUAAGGUCAACAAUGGAUCAUUUUCCCCUACCGAGCAACUUCCGAAAUUGAACCCUGCGCUCGACUCGCUCUUGUGAGUUGCGUGAUUUAAUGGCUAUGUUCGAGUAAUGCGUGGUUUACACCGAUUGUUAUUUUUCACUGAUCGUAGCAAAUCGAAGCUUUACCGUUUCGACAAGGAUGGAAAUCAGUGGAAGGAGAGAGGUGUUGGUACUGUUAAGUUCUUGAAACAUAAGGCUACUGGUAAAGUUAGGCUUCUCAUGAGGCAAUCCAAAACCCUCAAGAUAUGCACCAAUCAUCUCAGUAUGUGAUUUCUUCUUUCAUUUUUUGCUAAAUCUUUGUUUUGUAAUUUUGAUUUUGAGAUUUUUAUUGUUCUCUCGAUUAUGUUACACUUUUGGCUACAAUGAAUGUCCAAGAUCAUGCUGGAAUCUUGCGGAUGGCAUGCUAGGGAUUUUGCUGAUGGUGAACUUAAGGAUGAAUUUUUCUGCAUUUGUUUUUCAUCUAUUGAAAGUGCAUAUAUAAAUGAGAGCAAUAGAAGAAGAGUUGUUGGGUGGACCAUAACAUUCAUAUGCUUAGGGGUGUUUGUCUUCACAUAUUCAUGUUUAACUUUUCUUAGGUCAGUCUAAUCUUGAUUCACAUAGCUUUUCUCAAGAUGCACAUGCAAUGAUAAAUUUAUGCAUUUUAUUAGUGUUUUUUAUGUCAUUUAAGAAUUUCUCUCAGUGUUCUAGUUCUUUUCAACAUAAUUUUAUGCUAUUACCAAUUCUGUUCACUUCACAUUGUGUGGAGUCGGAGGCACUCUUCUUGUGUUUGAAUUCAUCUUUCUAACUUGUAUAGAUCAAGAUGAUGCAAGACACAAAUUUGGUCAGUCUGGAGGUUUCACAUGCCCAUUUGUGCCACUGCUGCGCAUGCCUACACCAACUUGCAUUCCCAUCAAUUCCUACUUACUUAUUAAUCUUGGUAGACAAUGAAAUCUUUGGCCAGAGACGGUGAAUAAUAGUAAUAAUUCAAGUGAUUUGGUUGUGUAGAUUCAUAUGAAUCUUUUUGUGUUAAUCCUGAUUAUUAAUAUUAUUACUAUCUUUUAUGUAUACUCAGAUUUGUUAUUUGUUUGUGUUUUCAUGUUAAGUAUAAUGUAUUGGGUCGAGGCAUGUUCAAAUCGAUUAUGUCUAUAAUUACAUUAGUGUUUUUGUUCUA